Molecule: ribosomal RNA, 433 nt
Filed under: Thais sp. 'jechinulata'
Lineage: Eukaryota; Metazoa; Mollusca; Gastropoda; Neogastropoda; Muricidae
Description: partial small subunit ribosomal RNA
Rfam family: Bacterial large subunit ribosomal RNA
Source: RNAcentral
GACCGUGCAAAGGUAGCAUAAUCAUUUGCCUUAUAAUUGAAGGCUAGUAUGAAUGGUUUGACGAGAAUUAAGCUGUCUCUUUUCAACUAAAUAUAACUUUAUUUACAGGUGAAGAAGCCUGUAUUAUAUUGAAAGACAAGAAGACCCUAUCGAGCUUUAAAUAAUUUAAUAAGUUAACUAUAUAUUGAUAGAAAAAUUAAAUUGUUAAGGAUUUUAGUUGGGGCGACUGAGGAACAAACAAAGCUUCCUUAUUAACAUGGAAACAUACAGGUAUUGAUCCAAUAUUUUUGAUUAAGGGAAUUAGUUACCGUAGGGAUAACAGCAUAAUCCUCUUUGAGAGCUCUUAUCGAAAAGGGGGUUUGUGACCUCGAUGUUGGACCAGAAUAUCCGGAAGAUGCAGCCGUCUUCAAUGGUUGGUCUGUUCGACCAUUAA